GAGUUUGAUUCUGGCUCAUAACGAACGGUAGCGGCGUGGAUUAGGCAUGCAAGUCGAACGCUCCAUUUUCUUUCGGGAUGGUGGAGAGUGGCGAAAGGGUGAGUAAUGCAUAGAUAAUCAACCCCUGACUCUCGGAUAACUGGGAGAAAUUCCAGCUAAUACGAGAUAGGUUCGCUAGGAAGCGUUUCUUAGCGAAUAAAAGAGGCCUCUCAACGAUGCUCCUGGUUGGGGACGGGUCUAUGUCCUAUCAGCUUGUUGGUGGGGUAAUGGCCUACCAAGGCAAUGACGGGUAGCCGACCUGAGAGGGUGACCGGCCACACUGGGACUGAGACACUGCCCAGACUCCUACGGGAGGCUGCAGUCGAGAAUCUUCCGCAAUGGGCGAAAGCCUGACGGAGCGACGCCGCGUGCAGGAUGAAGGCCUUCGGGUUGUAAACUGCUGUCCUAGGUUAAGAAACGUCUAGGUGUCAAUAGCAUCUAGUCUUGACAAAGGCCUAGAAGAAAGCCACGGCUAACUUCGUGCCAGCAGCCGCGGUAAGACGAAGGUGGCAACCGUUGUUCGGAAUUACUGGGCAUAAAG
This 580-nucleotide ribosomal RNA is filed under the name uncultured Planctomycetota bacterium. Its description in RNAcentral is "bacterial SSU rRNA". It matches the Rfam family "Bacterial small subunit ribosomal RNA", at positions 9 to 565 of the family's 1533-position model. The record is from RNAcentral. Lineage: Bacteria; Pseudomonadati; Planctomycetota.